GCGACCGUGGCGGAAUUGGCAGACGCGCAGGAUUUAGGAUCCUGUGUCGAAAGACGUGGGGGUUCGAGUCCCCCCGGUCGCA
This 82-nucleotide transfer RNA is filed under the name Gemmatimonadota bacterium. RNAcentral describes it as "Gemmatimonadetes bacterium tRNA-Leu". It matches the Rfam family "tRNA". Rfam says of the family: Transfer RNA (tRNA) molecules are approximately 80 nucleotides in length. Their secondary structure includes four short double-helical elements and three loops (D, anti-codon, and T loops). The record is from RNAcentral. Lineage: Bacteria; Pseudomonadati; Gemmatimonadota.